GACGUAGGGUGCGAGCGUUGUCCGGAACUAUUGGGCGCAAAGAGCUCGUAGGCGGUCUGUCGCGUCUGCUGUGAAAUCCCGAGGCUCAACCUCGGGCUUGCAGUGGGUACGGGCAGGCUAGAGUGCGGUAGGGGAGAAUGGAACUCCUGGUGUAGCGGUGGAAUGCGCAGAUAUCAGGAAGAACACCGAUGGCGAAGGCAGUUCUCUGGGCCGUAACUGACGCUGAGGAGCGAAAGCGUGGGGAGCGAACAGG
This 253-nucleotide ribosomal RNA is filed under the name uncultured bacterium. RNAcentral describes it as "partial 16S ribosomal RNA". It matches the Rfam family "Bacterial small subunit ribosomal RNA", at positions 524 to 776 of the family's 1533-position model. The record is from RNAcentral.